RNAcentral lists this unclassified non-coding RNA (391 nucleotides) under soil metagenome. Its description in RNAcentral is "partial contains 5.8S ribosomal RNA, internal transcribed spacer 2, and large subunit ribosomal RNA". The stretch from base 1 to 122 matches the Rfam family "5.8S ribosomal RNA", at positions 35 to 154 of the family's 154-position model. The record is from RNAcentral.
GAUGAAGAACGCAGCGAAAUGCGAUACUUGGUGUGAAUUGCAGAAUCCCGUGAACCAUCGAGUCUUUGAACGCAAGUUGCGCCCGAAGCCACUAGGCCGAGGGCACGCCUGCCUGGGCGUCACACGCCGUUGCCCCCCCAUCUACUCCUUCGGGAUUGCGGGGGGGCGGAUGAUGGCCUCCCGUGCGCCUAGCCGCGCGGUUGGCAUAAAUACCAAGUCCUCGGCGACGCACGCCACGACAAUCGGUGGUUGCGAAACCUCGGUUGCCCGUCGUGUGCGUUCGUCGCGCAUCGAGGGCUCGAAAAAAUGCUCGGCUCCGGCUGGGCUUUCAACGCGACCCCAGGUCAGGCGGGGUUACCCGCUAAAUUUAAGCAUAUCAAUAAGCGGAGGA